GUGCCAGCAGUCGCGGUAACACGUAGAAGACUAGUGUUAUUCAUCUUUAUUAGGUUUAAAGGGUACCUAGACGGAAAAUCAAGCCAUAAUAGGAACUAAUUUUCUAGAGUUUUAUGAAAGAAGGUGCGAAUUUCCGGAGGAAAGUUGAUAUUUUAUGAUACUGGAAGGACGGGUAACGGCGAAGGCAACCUUCUAUGUAAAAACUGACGUUGAGGGACGAAGCCUUGGGUAACGAAAAGGAUUAGAUACCCUAGUAGUCCUUGGAGAAAAUUAUGAAUGUCAUAGGUUAGAGGGAAAGUGAGUUAAUAGCAGCUUAGUUGUUGUGGUUAUGUAACCGUGCGUACAUUUCAACGGUUCAGAAUACAGAUAACUGAACCUUCAGCAACAAUUAAGACUUGUAUAGCUAUGCUAAACUGUAUUAGAAUUUGGUCUACACAAAUUGCUACUAAUCCGCCUAGGAUCAUAAACUGUAUUAGAAUUUAGUCUACACAAGACGCUACUAAUCAAUCUAUGAUCCUAUAUUGUAUUAAUAUAUACAAAUGGUAAUCCAUGUAUCCAUGGACAACAAGUAUAGUUGU
RNAcentral lists this ribosomal RNA (578 nucleotides) under Chaetothyriales sp. Its description in RNAcentral is "bacterial SSU rRNA". The stretch from base 1 to 352 matches the Rfam family "Bacterial small subunit ribosomal RNA", at positions 505 to 873 of the family's 1533-position model. The record is from RNAcentral. Lineage: Eukaryota; Fungi; Ascomycota; Eurotiomycetes; Chaetothyriales.